GGCUUGGGGCCUCUGGGAGGGUCCAUUCUGUCAGCUGUUCAUCUGUUGGGAGUCGCCAGCGCGCUUUCCCCCGGUCCCCGUGGUAACAGUUGUCUGGCAGGACAGAAGGGGUGGGGGUGAGAGCUGCCACCGUGAACUUCUUCAGCUGCCAGUCAGAUUUCAUCCAGAAAUUUCCAUCCUGGACGAGGAAGGCGCAUGCUGUCAGUGGUAGCUGACUAUCUGGUGUGAGCAAGCAGGACCUCAGCAGAAGCAUUAGACCUAAGCUGGCCUGAAAUUUUUAUAACCGCUAAAGGGCUUGUCCAUUUGUCUUCCUGGAAGGUAAGAAAAAUGAGGCCAGGAAAGGCUGCAUGACUACUCCAAGGUCACAUUGCUUACUGAAGCCGAAGGACAGCUUCCUGAUAUCCAGUGCAAGGUAUUCUGACCACCACAUCGCUGACCUCCAGCAUAAAGAUAUU
Molecule: long non-coding RNA, 455 nt
Organism: Manis pentadactyla (Chinese pangolin)
Lineage: Eukaryota; Metazoa; Chordata; Mammalia; Pholidota; Manidae
Exons: 3
Source: RefSeq, a predicted model, not a curated record